UACAGAGGUCUCAAGCGUUGUUCGGAUUCAUUGGGCGUAAAGGGUGCGUAGGUGGCGCUGUAAGUCGGGUGUGAAAUUUCGGAGCUUAACUCCGAAACUGCAUUCGAUACUGCCGUGCUUGAGGACUGGAGAGGAGACUGGAAUUUACGGUGUAGCGGUGAAAUGCGUAGAUAUCGUAAGGAAGACCAGUGGCGAAGGCGGGUCUCUGGACAGUUCCUGACGCUGAGGCACGAAGGUCAGGGGAGCAAACGGG
RNAcentral lists this ribosomal RNA (253 nucleotides) under uncultured bacterium. Its description in RNAcentral is "partial 16S ribosomal RNA". It matches the Rfam family "Bacterial small subunit ribosomal RNA", at positions 524 to 776 of the family's 1533-position model. The record is from RNAcentral.